ACGGGGCUAAACCAUGCACCGAAGCUGCGGCAGCGACACUGUGUGUUGUUGGGUAGGGGAGCGUUCUGUAAGCCUGUGAAGGUGUGUCGUGAGGCAUGCUGGAGGUAUCAGAAGUGCGAAUGCUGACAUAAGUAACGAUAAAGCGGGUGAAAAGCCCGCUCGCCGGAAGACCAAGGGUUCCUGUCCAACGUUAAUCGGGGCAGGGUGAGUCGACCCCUAAGGCGAGGCCGAAAGGCGUAGUCGAUGGGAAACGGGUUAAUAUUCCCGUACUUGGUGUUACUGCGAAGGGGGGACGGAGAAGGCUAUGUUGGCCGGGCGACGGUUGUCCCGGUUUAAGCGUGUAGGUGUGUGUUCCAGGUAAAUCCGGUUCACUUUAACACUGAGGCGUGACGACGAGGCACUACGGUGCUGAAGCAACAAAUGCCCUGCUUCCAGGAAAAGCCUCUAAGCAUCAGGUAACAUCAAAUCGUACCCCAAACCGACACAGGUGGUCAGGUAGAGAAUACCAAGGCGCUUGAGAGAACUCGGGUGAAGGAACUAGGCAAAAUGGUGCCGUAACUUCGGGAGAAGGCACGCUGACACGUAGGUGAAGUGAUUUACUCAUGGAGCUGAAGUCAGUCGAAGAUACCAGCUGGCUGCAACUGUUUAUUAAAAACACAGCACUGUGCAAACACGAAAGUGGACGUAUACGGUGUGACGCCUGCCCGGUGCCGGAAGGUUAAUUGAUGGGGUCAGCGCAAGCGAAGCUCCUGAUCGAAGCCCCGGUAAACGGCGGCCGUAACUAUAACGGUCCUAAGGUAGCGAAAUUCCUUGUCGGGUAAGUUCCGACCUGCACGAAUGGCGUAAUGAUGGCCAGGCUGUCUCCACCCGAGACUCAGUGAAAUUGAACUCGCUGUGAAGAUGCAGUGUACCCGCGGCAAGACGGAAAGACCCCGUGAACCUUUACUAUAGCUUGACACUGAACAUUGAGCCUUGAUGUGUAGGAUAGGUGGGAGGCUUUGAAGUGUGGACGCCAGUCUGCAUGGAGCCGACCUUGAAAUACCACCCUUUAAUGUUUGAUGUUCUAACGUGGACCCGUUACCCGGGUUGCGGACAGUGUCUGGUGGGUAGUUUGACUGGGGCGGUCUCCUCCUAAAGAGUAACGGAGGAGCACGAAGGUUGGCUAAUCCUGGUCGGACAUCAGGAGGUUAGUGCAAUGGCAUAAGCCAGCUUGACUGCGAGCGUGACGGCGCGAGCAGGUGCGAAAGCAGGUCAUAGUGAUCCGGUGGUUCUGAAUGGAAGGGCCAUCGCUCAACGGAUAAAAGGUACUCCGGGGAUAACAGGCUGAUACCGCCCAAGAGUUCAUAUCGACGGCGGUGUUUGGCACCUCGAUGUCGGCUCAUCACAUCCUGGGGCUGAAGUAGGUCCCAAGGGUAUGGCUGUUCGCCAUUUAAAGUGGUACGCGAGCUGGGUUUAGAACGUCGUGAGACAGUUCGGUCCCUAUCUGCCGUGGGCGCUGGAGAACUGAGGGGGGCUGCUCCUAGUACGAGAGGACCGGAGUGGACGCAUCACUGGUGUUCGGGUUGUCAUGCCAAUGGCACUGCCCGGUAGCUAAAUGCGGAAGAGAUAAGUGCUGAAAGCAUCUAAGCACGAAACUUGCCCCGAGAUGAGUUCUCCCUGAGACUUAGAGUCUCCUGAAGGAACGUUGAAGACGACGACGUUGAUAGGCCGGGUGUGUAAGCGCAGCGAUGCGUUGAGCUAACCGGUACUAAUGAACCGUGAGGCUUAACCUUACAACGCCGAAG
Molecule: ribosomal RNA, 1784 nt
Filed under: Salmonella enterica
Lineage: Bacteria; Pseudomonadati; Pseudomonadota; Gammaproteobacteria; Enterobacterales; Enterobacteriaceae
Description: partial 23S ribosomal RNA
Rfam family: Bacterial large subunit ribosomal RNA
Source: RNAcentral